RNAcentral lists this long non-coding RNA (7998 nucleotides) under Volvox carteri. RNAcentral's name for it is "long non-coding RNA (VCAR_LNC003064)". Lineage: Eukaryota; Viridiplantae; Chlorophyta; Chlorophyceae; Chlamydomonadales; Volvocaceae. The record is from RNAcentral.
UGAGGCGCCUGGGGGUUGGGGAGGGGAAGGGGCUGCGACACCGUCCAGCACAUGUCUGUCCUAGCCCAUGACCCCGCACACUGGUGGCCUCGGCUGCUGUCACAUGACGGAAGGUGAGGGAAAGGUGGGGCCAGCUGGUGGCUACAUCCAAAUGGAGGGCUGGGGACGCUGUUGAAGAAGCCCCAUGGCUCAUAUACAUUUUUUCAAAUUAUCCUACAUCUGUGUACGUAUGUGUCUGAUUACCGGAGAUGCUACGGAGCAGAGAAAGCAUGCGCGGGUACAACAUGUAGCAUGUGGUGUUGCAUAAUUCGCCUGAGCUUGUUGAUUAUGCGGAUCUGGCGGCUUUAUUAGGUGUGGCUGUGAUACCCCUGGAGGGCGCUCCUCUUGUUCCCUGCUGCUGUGCCAGCCUUGUGCUGCCCAUUACAUUACUUGUAUGAUAGAGCGGCAGUGUUGUAGGCGCUUGGGGGCUUCCAUGGUUAGCUGUUUUCUCUUCGCUAGUUCGUGCCUUCUUGAGUCCUGGAUUAAUGUAAUUCCGUUCCUAAUUAGGCAUGCAUGCUUGUCUCGAACCACCGGUGCCGGGGAAGGAGUGCUGUUCCUAGGCCUGCGAGGCAGGGACUGCUUAAAGAGUAUGUUGUCGUCAUAUGAUAUGUGCACAAUCAUUGAAUAUAUAUAAUGUUGGAGCGAGCCUGUACAGCACUCCGUGAAGAAGCUAAUCAGCAGGUCCUGCUCCUCAAAGUAGGCCUUGCUGACCUCCUUCACCUUGGCGGGGGUGAGUGCUUGGACCCUGUACCAGCCCACGGGGCCGUCCUCUAGCUACUUGAGCACGCCCUGAUUGUCCGCCUGCAGCCAGUCCUCGAGCUGUCGUCCCUGGGGUGGAGGAACUUGGUGGGCUACUUAUCAGGCCCCAUAUGGCCAGCUAUGAGAAGGUGACCGGGAAGUGCACGUGCAGGAUAUAUCUUGCUGCAGUUGCCAAGCAGAAAGCCCCUUAAGUGCUAACCAACCAAUAAAUAUGACUGGGCUCUCGCACAUGAAACAUACCAAGCAUGGACAAGCACUCACAAAAUGCCAAGCUGCAGGAACAACGAUUGUGCUGGACAAUAAGAUCUCACCUCACAUUUAAUGCCUCAGAAGGCCAUGGUGUUUCGAAUUUCAUUGGACAGAAGCGAUGGCUUGUCCACCACAGCUGUCAUCAUUCUGUGAUAGAGACAGGAACAUAGUGAUGUGAGCCAUUAAGCAGAGAGGAGAUACCACACUCGCUGCAAAGGAGGGAUUUUGCCCUCGAAACUGAGGCGCCCCCCCAAUGCCGCAAGCACAGAUAGGUGUACCAUGCAUGCCGGCACAGCUAGAGUGUGUGCCCUUUCCUCGAUCCUUGGCUGAGACCCUACAUCCGUCCCCACAGACUGCAUUCUGAGCAUGCGGCGCCUUCCCUUCCCCGGAUGAACUCACCCACAGUGCCUCUGAUGCCCAGUGUAACUAAUGUCUCAUUCGCCUACCUUGAAAUGCACGGGGAAGGCACCCUUGAUGACCUCAUAGGCAUGCACAAAGCGGCACUCCUGUGGGCAUGACUGCUCCAGCUCGAUGGUGAUGCAUUUCCUCACCGCGUCGACUUCCGCCUCCAACAUCUCCAGGCUGCUCGAGUGCACGUGCAAAUUUUGGCGGGUCAGCACAUUAUCGGCCUCCGUUGCCACCUGCGCCAGCUUCAUGUGCAUGCCUGCCGCGACCUGCUGCAGCCCGCUGUCCCGCGCUUCGGCCAGCUUAGCGAAAUAGUCGCUGGACGUCGUGCGGAACUCCUGGUUGCCGCAGGCGUGCAGGAGGAUUUGCGUGGCGAGGUUGCGCAGGCGUGGCUGCCAGGCAAUCGCCUCCCGCUUCUCCAGAUCCGAUACACGCGAAGAGAGAUUCUGGAGUAUUUCCAGAAACGUGCCAACAGGUUCAGUGACGGCCUGGCUCCCGACGAGGCGCGUCUCCGAAUUUUCAACAGGGGCUUUUCAACAGGGGUUUUUUGGAAAUGGGGGAGGGGCAAGGUUACCUAAUAAAUGUAAAGUACAGGAUGCUUUGGUUUGGGCUUGUCCAGGAUUUAUCUAACUGACAGUCUUCUAAACUACGUGCAAUAUGUAGACUUCUAGCUGUUUUAAUACCUUUUAAUUUAGCCUCAUGAUCCAUUUCCCUCCUCUAGUCAAAUUGUCCAGUAGCCGCCGCAAAUAAUAUUUGGCGAUAUACCUUAGCGACUAUCAAUGAAAAGGCCAAAUAAAAGAUAAAUAUAAUCGUGCUUUGGAGGUUAUAAAGAAAGGCCAGAUUCUAAGUAAUACGGUGAUGGGAUGCAGCUGCAUGCCAGAUUUUUUUGCUGCCUCGGACAACCCUUGCUUGACCUGCUCCUUGAGCAAUUUACGGCCAGCUACUCACAACUAAACCACCUCUGCUGCCACUUUCACCGUACUUGCCAGACAUGGUUGCUACUUUAUAUUAUUGAUAGAAAAACAGCUUUUCGGUGUAAGUAGGGGCUGUACGAAUGGCUCGUCCUCCCCUUCGUGCCUUCCUGGCGACCCCAGCCUGGGCCUCGUCUAUGCCUGGUUCAGAGCGAAAUUUCCGGAACACACACCGCGGAUAGUGCAUUUCGUGACAACCUAGCGUGCCGCGUAGGAUGUAUGUCGUGUGUGGCUCGUGUCCUGUGUGUUUAAGUUUUGGGUUAUUUCGGAUCUGUUUUGUGUAAAGUCGCGUCUUGACUUCUGUUUUCGUCGGGUUGAUGUGUGUUGCGCGUCGUCCGUGUACCUUCGAGUUUCCGUCCUUGGGUUAUUGUGUCAUCAACCGAAUUUGCUUUUUCUGUGUCUUAGGCUUUUGGUUUGCGUACUCUUUGUGGAUGUUUUGGGCACGUCCGUUUGGUUGUAUACCGGUUCAUUUAGACCGGCAGGUAUAGGUGUCGUGCGCCAUAUUUAGGCCGGUAUCCACCGUCACGAUAGGCAGCGCAAUCCUUUCUGGCUCUCCCUCCCAUUCCCCCACGUUCGCCAUCGAAUUCGUCUCCGCCGCCCGCAUGCAGAGAUGCAUCCGCCAAGCCAGCGCCCGCCCACCACCACCCUUGAUGCCUCCCUGCACAUCGGAGGAGCUGGUUCCGGAUGCCUGGAUGCACGUGGCCCCCGAGUUCCGUGGGAUGGGGAACUGCUAGACGUGAUGAGGAACUGCUAGACGUGAUGGGGAACUGCUAGACAUGAUGGGGAACUGCUAGACGUGAUCGAGGUGCGGACACACAAGCGGACGUGCGGCAAGGUCGUGCCCAUCAUGGUCCUUGGCGCGCCGGUGCUCAACGAUGAGAGUGAAGUCGACUGGAAGAUCAUUGUCGUCGGCACCGACCACGAGCUGGCGGUGGAUGUCGGUGAUAUUGCUGGCCUCGAAUGACAUUUUCCAAGGGGGCUUGGUCAAAUCCGGAGGUGGCUGCGCAAUCAUAAGGCACCUGAUGGCAACCUAAACCAACCUGCCCCCAACUCAUACGGCAUGCACGGGUUGCUGGUGGACAGUGCUGACAUGUGUUCUGAUAUCAUCGGGGAGGCCCAUUCGGCUUACACCAAUUGCGGUCGUGGUCGAACUCCGAGUCAGAGUCAUUUACACGAGCGUCGAGGUCUAGGCCGAAGCCAAAGUCACAGUCAAGCCCUAAAAACGAAACCACGGCAUAUUCGCGCCUGAAUAUCACCCUUCUGUCACAGCCAUUAGUUUGAUUUCACACACUACCAAAUACGUUCCCUUGGUACUCUUGAACUGCUUUGCUUUCAGAUUCCUCAGCGUCACGAAGUUCUCUGCCAUCCGCUGGAUGAUCAUCAGGUCCGGGUUCUGUUCGUACACAUCAAAGUCGCUGGCGCCAACAUUCCCAACCACGCCAAUUGCCGUUGCAGCAAACCCCGUGUCAGGAGCGCCCACGAUUGUGAUCGAAGCCACGUACGACCACCCUAGGAAGUAGCUCUGCGCCAUUUUUAAAAGUUUUUCCAUAUUCUAGAUUACAUUUUUGCUGCAGGCGCGAUUAUUAUACCGGCCCCUACAUGACUCUUAUUGGACCUGUUGUUGGAUCUCAAACGAACGGCUGCUGCCGCCAGCAGAUCACCAUGGACCGUCGCGUCAGGGACAAAGCGGUGCUCCCCCACACCCCGUAUUACGUUAUAACAUUCACGGAACUCGUUCAACAAGUCAUGUGUGUAUCGCUUCUGGCUGCGAUCUAUAACAUGGCCGCCGCCACCGCUGCUGCCACUAGUGAGGACAGGGUAGCACAUGCACAUUGGUACAUGAGCCUUGACAUCCCUGAGCUCCAGGCGCAACAGGGAUGGGUGCACACACUCCACACACCUCACGGUGUGCUCCACACGGCGCACUUUGCACAGCUACCGCUGGUGUGCGGUGGCCGGCAGCAUGCACACGAGCAUCUCCGCUACUUCACAGCCAACUCAGGCUUUGACACGAGCCAACACUUUGAGCCCCCCAUCAGCAAACUGAGCCAUCUGACCAUCAUGUUCAGGGACCACAUGGCCCACCCACUGCAUGAGAUGGGAGACCACACGCUGAGGCUCGAGAUCAUCACUGCACGAGAUGUUGUUCCGGCGCCGCUGCUGCCACAGCAGGUCACAGGCAUGAAGUCGAGUCCUGCCGAACUUGUGGACUCGCCCAGGGAGCUCACGGCGGAAGAUACCGUGAUUCCAGGCUCGCGCGGUUAUUCCUUACGUCCCUUUCCCCCAGCCCGCCAAGCACCAACCACCCAAAGAGUGCAAACUCACCUUGAGGCUGCCCAUCUCAGUCAGCAUCUGACUGCUGACUGAGCAGACACUCUUCGAGGCUAAAGGCGCCCCCUGAUGGUCAGGUUCUCCCCGGGAGCCGACCAGACCGUCCAGCUGGUCCAAGAAGAUGAUGGAGGGGGGGCUGGCUCGGCCCGGGCAAAAAGUGCCGCGAGGGCCUGUGUGUGAGGAUUAAGCAAGAGUUGGGAGGGGAUUGGGGCUCCACAACACCAAUACAAGGACACGCGGGACUGUGAGAUGCAUCAUCCGCUAACUGGAGAGGAUGUGAGAGCGGGGGCCAUGACGUGCAGGGAGCAGGGUCGAACGGACACGGACGUGUCAGUCAGUCACCUCUGCACCACGUACUUGCUGACCAUCUCCCCCGCUUCAGCCGCCAGAAAUUUAAGACGGGCUUCAGAGGCCACUGCGCGGGCCAGCAAUGUUUUACUGCACCCGGGGGACCCGUACAGCAGCAUGCUGCGGGGGGCCUGCACACCAAUGUGAGCCAUGGCACUGCGGGCAGCCAAAUGGUGCAUGAGUCAGAUCUGCACCCCAGGUCCGCUGGGCGAGCGUGGCAUCUACGUCCGCUCCUUGCCAUACCUGAUACGGUCAUGCAGACUUCAGUGUGAAUACGACUCAUAUUCACACUGAAGUGUGUGGGCACACUGACCGCCACCUCCACACAGUCAUUGUUACCGACGCCCCUGCCGCCAGUGCUCAUGCACACACUGUCAGCGCCCCAGAAGGACUUCCUGGGCAUCGACUUCACGCCGCCCAGCAUGUUCACCAUCCGUGGUGAUGCUGUCACUGUCGGCAACCAUGAGCCCGUGCAAUUGCUACGUGCCCUAGGGAUGCUGACUGCCGACAGCGCUGUCUGUGUCAUGAGCACCAUGGCCUACCUCUAUGAUCAGCCUGCAUCGACAAUGGUGGCUUCAACCGGUACGUCAGCACAGAGCAUGCCGCAUCCAACCGGCUCGUCUUCAAGUGUGAUAGGCUCCUCGUGGGGACGGCAUACAAGGUGCACCUACUCACGCUGAUGCUCUCAUCCUACAACCUGGGCCUCACUGCACCCAUCAUGGACAUCGCGACCAACAUCUUGCUCAAAUCCUGCAAGAGUGGUGGCAGGUCGGCCGACGCCAUCACCCCAGCACUGCAUGAGCAGCAUGGGGCUGCCUGGGUGGGUGGAAAUCUGGCGGGGCAACCUCUACAUCGAGCCGCGCGCAAUCAUCUCGGCGCAGGGCAGCGCACGCCCCCAGGACCUCAAGCAGGCGACACGCGUGGCGCUCUACAGUGAGUACAGCUGAACACAUGCGGGCGCCGGCCUCACACGCAAUCCGUACACCUUCAUCAUCGUCCGCACCGGCGCCAUCAUGUACGAGCUAUCCAAGCCCAUCCUGUACACGCACCACAACACACUGGGAGCAGCGUGGCAGUACGUGUUUGCAGCCGGCGGGCAGGACAGCGUGAGAUGCCCCAUGGCUGGUGUCACAGUCAGCGAGGUGGCGGCGGUGGUAGCUGUGCUGGCCUGGGACACGACCACGCCCAUCAGCAUCUUCAACGCGCCUCUCAUCACGAUCAACAUGUGGAACUACUAGCAGUGCAAGUGCGACAGAAUGUGGCUCUCCGCGACAGAACGUGGCUACCCAUCAUGCGCGGUGUGGCAGAUUUCAUAGUGUUCGCCUCAAGGCGGGUGACAACGCCCAGCAAGCAGUACUUCACACUUAAGAAUGUAUGCAGCCCGUCCAGGCAGCAGGGCACUUCUUAACACGCUCACGAACUACCCAUGCAUGCUGGCGCUGCACUAUGCCAUUGAGGCAUCGUAUCUGCUGAACACCGAAGUCAGGGGCACAUGGAACAUUGUUUGCUCGGGGUUGCAUGUCCCAGAGAUCCCAUCCACUGGCAUCCCCAAGUUUGGUGACGCCGAGCCGAGGAUGAGCUCUUCCUCCAUCACCGAGCCACUGCUCAUCCUCACACCAUACCAAAAUUCGCUUUUUUUGAGGUGAACCCCGCACUCGACGUCAGUAGCGGUGCCAACGCAGUCCUGGACUACUAAUGUGCACGCACAUCAGCGCCGGACCACCUGAAUAGCCUCGUGCCAUGCGCACUCAUCCUACCACAAGUCGCACAGUCGCUGCCCAUCAAUGUUGCUGCACGCUGCAUCGGUGAAUAUGAGUGCUCAUGCGGUUUCUAAACCUCUACACUGUCCAGGCCCAUUUGGCAACCUGAGUCGUCAUGUAGCCUACACUAUGAACGACGUGACCAUGAGCGCCAUGCUGCUGCUCAUGAUCCUGUGUGGCCUGGCGGGCUUCAGGACCCAGGGGGUUGUCACGGGCUCCCAGUACUCUUACGAAUGUUCCUCGUCUGCAAGAACACAGGCGCACGCAUGCCGCUGAGCUGGCAGCGUAUCAACGUGACCGGCUUUGACUAAUCACCCUAACGAACUAUCCAGAGCGGUUUACACACUCAGCUACGCCAGCUAUUUCACGGGCGCGAACACCAUCAUCGAUAGCUGGCCGUCGCCGCAAUAGCCAUAGGAGUGGAAGCACACGCAAUGAGCCAGAGUGUUGCCACGCCGCUGGUCAUGCCCACUGCCGCGGCGCUCCUCACACGGUUCCGGGUCGAUAAGUACACACAUCUCGUGGUGGAGCCCCAUCGUCUGGAAUCUUGUGCGGCGGUACAAAGCCAGCGUUGAAUGAAAGUGCACCCGUGCAGCAUGUGUGAAGGAGGUCAUGCAGUGUAGCAGCCCACAGCGUACCACAUGACCCACUGGAGCAUGACCAUGUUCGAUGCUAGGGUGCACACCACAGUUGCGUGGACACAGUGUGUGGCUGCCGUCGAGCACGUCGUGGUCGCGAGAUCACACGCCUGCACGAGCAUGGUGUCAAAACUAUCCGUACAUCUGUGUGUACGUAUGUAUCUGAUUACUGCAGAUGCAAAUCAUGCGGAGCGGACGAAGCCAGGUGGUGGAAGGUUGAAUUGCAUGGGUACGACAUGUAGGCGUGUGGCAAGCGAUUAGCCUGAGCUUGUUGAUUAUGCGGAUCUGGCGGCUUUACAAGGUGUGGCAGUGAUACCCCUGGAGGGCGCUCCUCUUGUUCCCUGCUGCUGUGCCAGCCUUGUGCUGCCCACUACAUUACUUGUAUGAUAGAGCGGUAGUGUUGUAGGCGCUUGGGGGCUUCCAUGGUUACCUGUUUUCUCUUCGCUAGUUCGUGCCUUCUUGAGUCCUGGAUUAAUGUAAUUCCGUUCCUAAUUAGGC